UACGUAGGGUCCGAGCGUUGUCCGGAAUUAUUGGGCGUAAAGGGCUCGUAGGCGGUUUGUCGCGUCGGGAGUGAAAACACCGGGCUUAACUCGGUGCUUGCUUUCGAUACGGGCAGACUGGAGGUAUGCAGGGGAGAACGGAAUUCCUGGUGUAGCGGUGAAAUGCGCAGAUAUCAGGAGGAAUACCGGUGGCGAAGGCGGUUCUCUGGGCCUUACCUGACACUGAGGAGCGAAAGCGUGGGGAGCGAACAGG
RNAcentral lists this ribosomal RNA (253 nucleotides) under uncultured bacterium. RNAcentral describes it as "partial 16S ribosomal RNA". It matches the Rfam family "Bacterial small subunit ribosomal RNA", at positions 524 to 776 of the family's 1533-position model. The record is from RNAcentral.